UGAGGAAUAUUGGACAAUGGGUUAGCGCCUGAUCCAGCCAUCCCGCGUGAAGGACGACGGCCCUAUGGGUUGUAAACUUCUUUUGUAUAGGGAUAAACCUACUCUCGUGAGAGUAGCUGAAGGUACUAUACGAAUAAGCACCGGCUAACUCCGUGCCAGCAGCCGCGGUAAUACGGAGGGUGCAAGCGUUAUCCGGAUUUAUUGGGUUUAAAGGGUCCGUAGGCGGAUCUGUAAGUCAGUGGUGAAAUCUCACAGCUUAACUGUGAAACUGCCAUUGAUACUGCAGGUCUUGAGUAAAUUUGAAGUGGCUGGAAUAAGUAGUGUAGCGGUGAAAUGCAUAGAUAUUACUUAGAACACCAAUUGCGAAGGCAGGUCACUAAGAUUUAACUGACGCUGAUGGACGAAAGCGUGGGGAGCGAACA
This 422-nucleotide ribosomal RNA is filed under the name Caulobacter vibrioides. Its description in RNAcentral is "partial 16S ribosomal RNA". It matches the Rfam family "Bacterial small subunit ribosomal RNA", at positions 355 to 774 of the family's 1533-position model. RNAcentral also lists the same sequence under 1 other name. The record is from RNAcentral. Lineage: Bacteria; Pseudomonadati; Pseudomonadota; Alphaproteobacteria; Caulobacterales; Caulobacteraceae.